RNAcentral lists this long non-coding RNA (14631 nucleotides) under Gallus gallus (chicken). Its description in RNAcentral is "lncRNA (ENSGALG00010030080.1)". Lineage: Eukaryota; Metazoa; Chordata; Aves; Galliformes; Phasianidae. The record is from RNAcentral.
CUGGUCUCAUUUUGCUGGUAGCCAUGCACAAAACGCCGAGGUUCCGGCUGCAGGUUCCCUGGUGGGGCAGUAACGUGCCAUAAGCACCACUUACGGCACUUUACUGGUGAUGGCCUUUGGAGACUGGCUUUUAGCAGUGUAUUCAGGAAGAGAAGUGGGAAAUGACCAUGGAAAUUACGCAGCUUGCGAGCUCCAGCUUCCUUUCAAAUGACUUCGCUACACAAAUUUCACUUUGCAGUAUAUCAAUAUAUAUACAGCAUCUUUCCUUGACGCUUAAAUGGACGCUGUAUUUUUCUUCUGGGAUCUCCAUGCAUAGAAAAACAAACAAAAUCUGCACACUCAGAAUGCUCAGACCUGACUGCCUCCUGCAAAAAUGAGCUAUAGGGUAACCCAAGAGAUAAUCAUCGGAGGAUAACUGCGUGUUAUCCCCAUGCAAAACCCCUAUCUGCAUUCGAAAGGGGGAGCUGCAGAAGCUGCUAACGGUCCAGAAACAUCCUGAGGACACAAAAUUUGCCUUCACAAAACUCCUAAAGAAAGAUAACGGAUGGAAACCUCAAAGAACACAAAACCCGGGUUUUCAGGGUUUUUUAGCUGCACGUGAACGAACCGAAGUACCAGAUAAAGCUCAAUUAUCCUUUAAAGCUUACCUUUUGUUGUCGUAGUUGUUUGUAAGCCACGCAGCUGUUCUCCAGAACACCACCUGCAAGAACCUGCACGCGGAGCGUUCCGUCUUUGCAGCGUCAGUAAGAAUCAAGGGCAAGAGUUUGCUGGGAGUUUCUAACUUUCAAAAUGUUCAAAGAGAGAUUCACCUGAUUGAAAAGCUGCUUUCCCAUUAUUUAGUGCAGAAAACUGAAAAAGAUAUUGUAAUUAAGCUCAGGAGAUCAAUUAGCAUGUUAAACAACCACACGCGAGAUUCAAAACGUUACUCGCGGGUCAGCCAAUAGAAGAGAGUGCUCACAGGUGGAACUUUCUAGACUUGAUGAUGGUGCAGGGACAGCUGAACCUGUGGGCCUGAGCACCCAGCUGCGAGUAAUUGCGCUACAAAUCAGGGCCUGAAUAUAAGUUCCCCCCUGGGGGGUUUGACUUUUGUUUGUUCGGAGAACUGAUCGGUGUGAAGUUGCUCCCCCGGGAUGCCGUCAAGCUACGUUUUGAGCUGGAACAAGAUUGGGAAAAAGAUGGUGGUUUGACCACGAGGAUUGCUCGAGAAUGAAGGGGGACUACUCCGGAUGGGCUGAAAUGGGAAGGCUCCAUCUCAGAGGAGUGUUCUGGCGAUCUACCUGGAUAGGAACUGGAUUCUGCAGUCCUGAGUCAUGGUCAUGAGGAGAAGAGCUGUAAUGCUGUGAUACAGAAUUUCCGAUCUCUAACCUGAGCAGACGUGGCCUGCUUGUCAGCCUGGUCGCAAGGCAGCUCAGAUCCCGGCUUGGAUGCUUCAGGGUCACAGCCUCCAUCAGAUGAGCACAUGGAGGGAUGCAAAGACGGAAGAUGCCUCAUCUGCUGGGAAAUUCAACUACAACUGAAAUAGCUCAUCAUAAGCAAUAGUGAGCAGAGUGAUUACGGUCAAAAACGCAACACAGUGAGUGAGUAAUGCAUGCAGCUCCAGCUCUUCCCUACCUCUUAUGGACGAUGGGAGGUUGAAACAGCUCAUCUUUGAGAACUUUUGUUCCUGGUUUUGGGACACUUGAAAGAGAGCAUCUCCCAGUGGCAAAGAUAAGAGCCCACGUCCUUCCUGUAUCCUGUGGCUAUGCAUUCUCAGCCACAAGAGUCAGCAAGUCCCCUUCCAGAGGGAAGCGAUUUGGACAAUAACAUCUCAGACUGAUGCUGCUAAUCUGCCCUUACCCAAGGGAAGUGGGUGAGGUCAGAAGACGGGGAAAGACUUGUCUGCUGUCAGGAUGAUGGUGAAACUGACGCAUCAAAUAGAGCUGAAUGCUGCUGUAAAGUGCCUAGGGUCCCAACCUGUGGAAAUCGAAGUCUCUGAGGAUUCCUAUGUGAUCAAAGGCUGGAUUUCACUUCUCAAAGAGUCAGCUUUUGAGCAUUCCUUUGUGGAGCUGCAAGAACAUAAAGUCAUCACAGAGAGCCUCGUUAAAAGUGUUUAAUGAGAGCAGUGUGAUCCCACAGCCCAAGGGUCAGCAUGAGAGCAAGGACAGCCCAGAAGCCUCGUCCCACCAGAGCCGGGUAUCAUCAGGAGACCCCAUUCACCGAGGGACACAUUGACUGCUGUCACCAACACCCAGACAGGCACAGGAGACAAAGCAACCCAAGAGAACUGCAGCUGGGUAACAACGCCAGUGCGAAUUUCUCAGCCCAGAACAAGCCAAGACUCACUUCUGGCCAAAAUUCCUGCACUAAUGCUAACCACCAUCUGAUUACAUGAUUUUCCUGAGAUCCUGAUGCAAGUCGUUGUCACAGAAAGGGCUCAUGUGGGCACACUGCAGCCCAGGUUCCCUGCUGCCUACCUCUGCCUCUGGUUGGUCCGGUGCCCCGAGCAGCCCCAUCACCUGUGCUCUGCUCCCUGCUGGAAAAACAUGCUCGUUUUCAAAGGUAAGGGAGUCUUGGGUUACUAGGAACACAAAUCAUUAUGAGUAAAACUGCAUUCCCAAUUUAUUGUAUUUGUUUUAUUUAUAAUUUUAUUACUUAUUCCACAUUUUCCAUAUUUUCCAUGUGUUUCGCGUCAUUCUGGUCCAUUUUGGCCUUGACAUGGAAACUUGGGCUCUUCUCCCUGCCUGAUGUGUUGAAGGCUUUAUAAACAGCCUUGCUUCAUUGUUUGCUCUGCCUGUUUCCAUCCCGCAGGUGUGUGGCUGGAGCUGUGCUUGGGACAAAUCCGAAUGCUCUCUGCCUGGGGAGCAGGAUGGGGCUGAGGGGAAGAAAAGCAGCAGUUAAUGCAGUAAGUGGUGAAAAUUAAGCAAAUUGUUCAAGUGGUGCUUUAACAAAGAACAGUUUGAGACUCCUCUGAUUUGUGGGUUCUCUUUUUCGUGUGAAAGAAAGAAGAGAGAAGGAGAUUUUUCCAUGCAGUCAACAUGUUGCAUGUGCACGGCCAGAGUUCUCGUGAACCAAAAACCAAUUCACUGACUGAGGAAACUCCUCCCCGUGUUGGUUCAUUCCCUGUGCUGCACAUCUGCUUCUGGAAGGUAAUGUCAUGCAUCUGUGUCCAUAGUUAAUUCACUAUUUUCCCCUCUCCUCGAUGCAUAAGCAAGUAUUUGCUUUCCUGCUCACAUCUGACCACAGUCUGUGAGCAAAUCAGGCAUGUUCAGCAAUGCUGCUCUUAGCUGCUCUUCCAAGGUUUUGUGUCAACAGGAACAUUAGGUCAAUUUGCAGACAGCCCCAGAAAAUCUGGUGCAGCAUCUCUCACACUAUUGACAGGGACUGCUUGAAUUCAGCAUUGCCAGGCUAACAGUUGUCAUUCAGCUCUUGAGCAGAUUUGCACCACCACCUCAUCUAUUUUUCAUCAGUCUUGCACCCUCUGUGACAUCCGUGUCAAUCCAUGAGUUCAGUCUGAUUCAGUUCAAUCCCACACAUACCGAGUGUGUGUGCCAUGCUCAGACCUGAGUAAUCACUUGGAUGACAAAAGGAUGCUCAGUUCCUGCAACUGAAAAGAAAAGCCCAAGAAGCAACUCACUGAGUUUGUUCUAGACAAACUCCAUGGCAAUUGGAUGAUCCUUAAGGUCCCUUCCCCAACCCAAGCCAUGCUGUGAGUCCACAGUCAGAAACACAAGCAAAAAAUGUCACUUUUGCUGGCAGGGGAUGGGCAGGAAAAUUGGAUUAGAACAUCUGGUGGGGUUGUUAGCAAAUUUAGUUUGCUACGAAGCUGGCACUCCAUGCUGCCCCUCCUCAACUGUUGUGCUACAUCACCUCCACUUCCCUGUGCUCCUGCCUCGCCCUGUGCUAACCCUGAUGCUGACCUGCCCUGGCUCCCCAUUAGAGCUGCAAUUAGGGGGUGACUCUUAAUAGCGAGGUCUUGCCUCAGAGUGGGGAGAAAUGUUUCUGUAACUCACAUGUGACAAUUAAAGAUAAUUUAAAAUGUAAGUAAUUGCCCUGGGUUUCUGGAAACUACUGUAGAGGUCUUGUCCCAGGCAUCUGACAGGCACGGUGGUGUAUUUUGACAAGUUUUGUGCAGAUUUCCAUUAAAUACCAACUAGCAGCUCUAUUUUCUUUGGAGUCACUGGUCAGGAAAUGGUGAUUGUGAAAGGUCAGGUCUGGAAGGUUUGGGAGGGGAUGGAGGUGUUAUUCACGUUCCGAUCCAUGGGGAUCUGGUUCCAACAUAAAUCUUGCAGUUGCUUCAUCCUUGCUUUCUGCACAGUCUUUCAGCAGGAGAAAGGCACAGGCUGAUCUACAGGGAUCCUCUGUUCAGUUUCAUGGCCCCUGCUGAGAUGCCAGGUGAGGCGGGACCUACAAAAUGCCCCUUGGCAAGCUGGGGAGUCUGAUUUUAGACACCUGGCAAGCAGCAGAAUGUUUGGUUGUAUCCCCAUCCCAUCACAGCAUUGCACUAAGCCUUCUAGUUUGCAAAAGUGGAUGAGAAAUUCCAGUUGGUUGAAGGCUUCUGCAAGGUCAGAGUGUGAACAUCCUGCAGAAUGCACUCAGAUACUUUCAGAGGCUCAGCAGUCCUUGAAAGAGCUUUGCAUCGUGCAAACAAACUGUCAGCUGAGCUUGGAUUCUGCCACAUGUCCUAACACUAAGGAGCCAUCUGUGUACAGCACACUACAUAUGACCUUUCUUCUCCCUCUCCUUUCUUUCAAGUUGUCUCUUUUUUGACCUACAUUUAAGAUACCAAAUGAAUCCCAGCUGAGCACAGAGUUAAAUAUGCAACCCCAUACCAGCAUGUAAAUGAAGAGUCAGUCCAUGUACAGCAUGAGAACAAGUAUAUGGAAACAGAAUAAUCUGAAAAUGGAAAGGGACCCAUUCUGAACAUAGUCACCAUCUUUCACGUUUCAUUGGUCUGGGUUCUUCUCUCAGUUAUGGAGGCUUUUCUCCCAAGUCAUUUCAGGUGGGCCUGGAGGAGGACUUGUCACAAAAAAGCAGAGAGAAACCUGUACCACGUUUCAAAACUGCACUUUUAUUUCUGCUUCCAUAACUGAUUUUCUCAUGUAUGUUCAAAAGCCAGAGAUCACAUCUCUGUACUAUAGAAGUUUUCAGUUUGUGCCAGGGGAUAGUAAAAUUAAAUGUGUCCAGAAGCAGUUGCAUGAUCAUGAGCUCUGCAAGUUCUUACCUUUGUAUGGCUUAUAGAAGACAAAAAUACAUAGGAGAAAUUAAAGCUACAGAAGUCUCACCUUCAUUACUGCUUCCAAGCAGCUGUCUUUCUGGCUUUAGUAAUUCAGACACAUGGGCUACACCACCAAAAAAAAAAACCCACAACCAUCAUGGAACUUCAUAAAGAUCAGAAAUGAAAUCAAAUAUGUACAUAAAAAAAAUAGUUCUUAUUUUUAUCACAACUAAAGUGUUACUUAUGUCACAUACAGGUCAUUACAGAUGAGACAAAAUGACCAGAGCUGGUUUGGGGGCUUUGGUUUUUGCUCGUCAAGAGGCCACUUGAAGCUUUAACUCAGCAUCACUCACUUAUAUUUUGCCUUUAAAGCCAUUGGAGUGCUCAGACCCAGCACAGGGCACAUUGCCAUCACCCAGGUGGGGACUGCAUGCCCCUAACCAAUGUCACCAUGCCCACAUGAUGCCUGGGGCCUCUCCAAAGCAAGGUUUACAUUACCAGCACAGCACUGCCUUCACCUCACUUCCUGGCUCAGCCCUUUUGUAGAGCAUUCCAUGUUGGGCCACACAAGGGACAGAAGGGGGGAAAAACACAGGCAAAACAGAUCUAGCUUUGAAACACCAGAGUCCACAUCACCAAACCCUCUGUCCUCAUCCAUGCAAAACCCUUGUAGGACGCAUGGAGGUAAGCUUUUGAAAGGGUUUUUGAACACAUCAUACAUAGGAAAAUAACAUGCUGUAGAAACUUGGCAAUGAGUUUGUCUCCAGUAGCCAAGUUGGGCAUGGAAAAAAAAAAUUAGACAAUAAAAGGUCAUUUCUAGCCAAGUUUUAAGUGAGUAUACAAUACAUACCUUUUUUUUCCCCCAGUUCCUUGCCUUAGUUAUUGGCCAACUUGGCCAGGAUCUUAUGGAAAACACUGAAAUGGAAUUAUUAUAAUUGUGUGGGUUUUUUUUUCUCUUUUUGACCAAGCAAAAGUUCUUAUAAGCAAUAAUUUAAUUACAGCAAAAGCAUAACACAGACACAGUCUUAAGGAUGCAUCAUCAAAAGAAAAAAAAACCACCAAACUUUAAACUACAGCUACUUCAUGUGUGCCAGUGAGCUAAUACUGCUGCUAUUUAUUAUUUUUCUUAAUUAUUUAUUAUAAAGCCUGCCAUAAAGUGGAAAAUUACCAGUGCUGAUCACCUUUCCAACCAUUCCAGGUGGAAGAUGGCACAAGAACAGUUUUGCAAAGCUGACCUCAAUGAGAGAGUAAAGGAGUGAAGCAUGAGAGUGAAAGGGAAACAAACAAAUCAGAUUUGAAUAUGCUAAGCUAAAUAAAUAACCACAAGCCUGAGAUCAACAGGAAUAUUAUAAGCUGCAGAUUUGGAGCUGUGUUAAACAGGAACAAUCGUUUCCUUUUUGCCACUUACUGAAGGAAGAAGGCCAUUCCUUUCUGCAGAGUUGAUCUGCUACGUUCUCAUGCUCUCUAGGAAAUAUCCUUCCAAGUCAGAUGACUUCUUAGCGAGUGAGGAGAGGAAUAUGGUUUUUUGUUGCAAAAUUUAGAACUCAUUCCAUUGCUGCGUCACCAGCUCAGAUCUUUGUCUCAGCCAUUCCUUUGUCUCUUGCUCAGCCAUGACCCACUGCUCAUCCGCCGGGCUGACAGCACACCAAGUCCUGCCUAAAUGCAAGAACCUCAGAGCAUCAGUAGGACAUCCCACCCAGCCAAAGAACCCGGAGGAAACUUCUAAGCUUGUAUGAGUCACUCAUCAUCUCAAGCAGCAUUAGAAGGAAAUUGCCUUAGGGCACUGUCAUCACCAUUUGUGAGUAUUUGUUGACAGCAAAUGUCUGUGCUACUGUUACGAACCUCAGGCUGGGCUAGGUUUGAACCUAAGAUCACCACUUUUAGCACUUAUACAUUGGCCAGCUGGGCUGAAAAAUGGAGAAUUCAGCAUCACCAGAAGCUGGCAGUUGCCUUAAAGUUAAUGUGCAUCUGCGCAUAGCCUUUGCCAGCAACAAAUGCAGAGUGAUGGGCUUAGCUUAGUUGAGAACAAAGUAUUCUUACAUCCCAAUGAACCUGAAAAGAGGGAGGUGAAAAAAAAUACCAUUACUGAUCUGGAACUAGAUGUUAGCAGGGGACAAAACUGCAAAUAGAUAUGCACACACACACUUCUGCCAUUGUUACACAAUCUUUCACAGCUACCAACAAUCUGCACAUUAUCCCUGAGUCUAGUUCACGUUCCCAUGAUCUGAUGGCAUCACCAGGAGAGUGCUUAUGUGUUCCAGCCAGGGCAAGCAGCACAGACUGGAGGCUUCCCAGGCAAGAAUAAGGUUGAUGCGUGUGUCACCUAAAAGCCCCCCUUCCACAUAUCUCACUCUAAGACAUCUCCCUGAAUUUACUGCCUACAAACCAACUGGCAAGCAGACAUUACAGCUUUUCCUAAAAUUUAGGUGAGCAGCAGCAAGGAGGUGGCUGGGCCAUUGCCUCCCAGCUCUUCCUCCAGGCUGCUCAGCUCAGUCUGUGUAACCUCAUCAGCAUCCUAGCAAAAAGCUAUUUUUGCCUCCUAAACAAGCACAAGAAAAACCUUGGUUGAAGCAGAAUGGAAAAGAGCUUCAUGGCUUCCCUGGAGAAGGGGAAUGCAAGAUGGUGGUUGGUAGCCAUCUAUCCCAUCUGUUGGAGCCUAGACCCAGUUUUGUCUAAAGAUCCAUGGACAAAUUUGAUGUGCUCACAAAGGGUGGCUGAGAUCCUAGCAGAGCUGAAGUUGACUUCAGACCUGGCCAGCCCAAGCAGAGGACAUUGCUGUUGUUUAAAAAUGAUACUCAUUAAGAGCAGAAGUCAGGCAAUGAUCACCUUCUGUAGUUGAUAAUACUCAAGGAGGGAGAUGGUGGAAAAAUGAAACCUUGGAAAAUAAAACUUAUUUGGCACCGCUGAUUAAAACCAGUUUGUGUUUCAUUGUUAAAGGCUGUGUUUGCUCAAGGUUUAUUCAGCUCUGGUCUCUUCCAUCCACAUACGGUUUGUUUUAAUGACUGUGGAGUUAUAUGAAUCUAUUAAUUUUUUUUUCCUGAAAGUUUCAUAACAACAAUGCCUGUUUUUUUCAUACAGCACUUUACAGCCACGCAUCUGGAAAUACAUUGCAAAUAGGCAAUUAGUAUCAGCCCUAUUUUGAAGAUGGAGAUACUCAGAGUCCAAGCAAGACAGCUAUUAAAGAACGGUGCCAAAAUUAGGCCUUUUGCUUCAUCUUGACAAGCUAGAACUACAGCCUCUUGAAGACAACAGGGAUGCAUGAAAAGCAUUUCAUUUAGCUAGCAGUAACUCUGUCUCAGGUUGGACAGACAAGAGGACAGCAGCAAAGACAGACUGACUCAUGCUAAACAACAGAGGUAGGAAGAGGACUUCCAGUAAUGACAGACUUAGGCCACUGCAAGCACUUACUUCCCAAAACCAGUGCUGAGGGAUCCAUCUCCAGUGAAGGGCUGACCAUCACAGGUUCCUGUUUUCUGAUAAGAGCUUGCUGCAUUUUUCCUCUCCACGUUUUUCAGCCUUUCCAGAUCUUCCUGUUAAAGCACAGAGUUGAAAACCAAUAAGAUAAUAUUAUUUGAGGCAAAUCUCUAACCCUUUAAUCAGGCUAUGUGGGAGGCAAGAAAAUGUUAGAUGCAAGGGAAUAUUAAAUUAAUAAUACUAUGUUGAAGUUGAGAUUAGUCAGAUUCCAGAGACAUAUAAUAACUAACUGCUGCCACCUCUGAUAUGGAUGUGUGGAGGCAAUGAGCAGGCUCACAGCAAGGAAGCAGGUCCUGGGCAGGACAAUGCUGCCAGACAUACUGUGGCAGUGCACUCAGCCCUUCACAUAGCUGCUGGAUGUAAUAGAACAGCCCCUGCAAAAGCUCAGAGCAGCCUUAUCCCAAAGUGCUGCACGGUCUUCCCACCUCUCCAUCGCAUCCAGCCCAACCUGGGGUGCUGCAUCCAGGGGUGCCCAGUCCUGUCUGGUGUUCCUGGAUCCCUGCUCACAGGUGGGAUGCUCAGGAGUGUCAGUGAUGGGAGUGAAAAUGAGGUGAACAGGUAAGAAUACAGACACUAUAAAGAAGUGAAGAGUGAAGAAACAUUUGGAAGAAAAACACAAAGGAAUUAAAGAUAUCUAGAGUGAAAGAGAUGGUGAAUGGCCUGAAGGGAGUUAAUGAGAUCCAGAAAUGCAAGUUGGAGAAAUGUUGAUUUUAUUUAGCAUUAAUUGCAGGAAAGAGCCUAUAAAGUGUGGUAAAAAAAUUAUUAAGUACCACUAUGCAAUGCCAGCUUUAUGCCAGCCAUCCCUACGAAGCAGGUGUAUUAUUCCUAGUUCCCUAGGUAUAAAUAAAUAACUGCUUUUCCAUGGUUUUCUUUUUUUUUUUUCUUUUUUAAAUGAUGGCUUUUCAUUAAUUUUUACUGCCAUAUUGUUAUAGUUCUGAUUCCUCCAGAGCAGCUCUGGGGAUCAGUUGGUGCUGGAGUGUGUGUAUGCAGGUUGGUACCUGCGAGCCAUGGGGCACUGCAUGGGAGAUGCAGUGUCUGUGAUCAUAGCACCCCAGGGGUGCAGCCCUGGUCUUCUUGCCCAUGGACUAAACAUGACCUCACCCAUGGUCUGAGCUCUGACAGCAACAUCUGGGUAAAUACAGAAAGGAACCUGAUGGAAAAUGGACAGUUUGAUGGUUGAUGGACAGUUGAAGGGUGAUGCAUUUUGCAUUGAGGGCUCAUACAGCAAAGCCCAGAAGGAACAGACGGACCACGUUACCCAAGAAACCUUUCCCAAGAUUGAGGUUGCCCUGGGAAAGAACAUUCUGAGGGACAUCACCACGAUGCAAGCACUGGUAUCAUGUCAACCCAUUGGUUGUGGUGUUGGCCUCUGGUGUCAGGGACGGGGAGUUGGGCUUCCCAUGCCACCACAGCCAUCCAGCACUCCUGACUGCACACUCCAAGACAAGAAAAGAAAAGGGAAAAUAAAACCUAUGUUCCGUUCCACUUUUAACUUUCUGCUCAUGCCCAUACAUUCCUCCUGGCGUUAUUACAAACGGGCUCCAAUGUUGCCUUUGUUAAGAAUGAGAGCAGAGCACAUUUCCCCGAGCAAUGUUUGUAUCAGCAUUUUCAGGCUCCUUUUAUCGAGUCUCGCACUUCUCAGAGGAGACUCAGCGGGGAGAUGAGCUCUGGAUGCGUUUUCCUAGCAACGUCUCGCUUCAGAGAGGCCACCAAAGACGUUCAGGGAAGCAGUGAUUCCCUGGUAGUGCCUCAGUCCAAGCUCUGACCUGGAACCGUGGGCUCAGCAAAUACACAUAAAUCUUCAGCUCACGUCCAAAUCAUCGCAAGGUUCAGUGAAAAUAGCAAAACUGCCAGUGGAUCUAACCGAAGUUUUAAUCCAGCUCCAGCAUGAUUUAUGGCCUCAGGUGGAAACCAUGAAGCACGAUGGCCUCAGCCCAAGCCAGGGGACGUUCGGCUGCCCCAGCCCUAAGGUGUUGUGUUACGGCACUGAAGAAUCAAGGCUGCAAGAGGCAUGGAUGAAACUGAACAGCACAAACACAUCCCAGCAACGCCUUCAACCUCUGUGCAUCACAGGCAGACCAGACAGAAGAAGAGAAAAGAGAUGCAGCAAAUCUCAGCACCUUAAGCAAGGGUUGCUCAUCACUGGCCCUGAGGUCUCUGAACCAAGAAAACACCACUUCCAAAGGGGCUGCUGCUGGGGAACUGCUCAAAUCUGUCUCUCCUCCCCCUCACCCAUGGCAUCUGUACAAACCAACAGGAGCCCCUUCAGACAGCAGCCAUCCUUCCAGCACGAGUCCUACCUAACAGGCAAGGAGGCUGCACGUGCUGCAGCCCUUGUUUGAACAUCUGCUGUCUCUAAUAGGAACAGCAAGGCACAGCACACUGACAUGGGUUACAAUAGAAGGGCUUUAGAAUUGUGUCUCAUAAUCUACAGCUGGGCAGAAUCUCACUGCUGCCGGUUGGUCCCAUCACCAGCACAACAUCCACCAUCCCACACAAUGUGAUUCUCUAGCCAGGGACUUCAAUGAGGACAGCAUGAUCGUCUAAUUGGAUUUCUGCUCUCAAUUAGGGCAGAGGAAAACCAAAUACAAAGCUGACCUGGAAAGCUUCAGCCAUCUGCACCUACAAAUGGCUAAUCUGCAACCAAGGAGCAUACAACAAGGACACAAAACAUAGUCUCAAGGUGCGCAUUGACUCACCUGCUUCCAACUGAGACCAGAGAUGCACCAGCAGAGCCUACAUGUAGCAGAACGUUACACCUCCAUUCCCUGCAGCACUGGGGUUGAACCAGAAAGAGUCAGUUCAGCUCUGAGCCCUCCCUACCACCAGCAACAUGCUUAGCUGUGAGAUCCACACUGAAUAAGAGGAACCUCAGCAAAAUCCCAUUGGUUUCACCUUGAAAUUAGAUGGAGAUCAGGGCCUAACAAGCAGCUGAAGCAAAGCAAUUACCUAGACCACAUGUUGCCAAUCAGAUGCCAUGUGAGGCUCGUUAUUGCAGCCGAAAGGUUGGAGUGGCUGCUCAAGCAUUUCCACGUGGUGCUGGAAAAUGAGCACCAAAAGAUAAAUGAGUCAGUACAGGAGCAAUAUGAGCUGAUGGCCAGUGCACCCCCCCACACACCUGGAGCUGCAAGGAGAGUCAACCAAAGCACCAGUGGUGGCAUCGCCUCAUUGCAUGACUGCAUGUACUAAACGAUGAAGCAAAGCACUUCUUGCUGCUGCUGUAACACAAGGGCAACGUGCAGCAUUCCCACCCUGUGCUGCUGGCAGCUGAGCCCCGGCACUGCCCUGCAGCGCUCCUCUGCUGGCUGCUGGGCUUCCACGUUAUAGUGCUUAACCAUAUCUUGCCAGCUGAUAAAGGAUCAGGAUUUGCAUAUGUUUGCAUGGCACAUUUGCAUACAUACGGCAAUAAAUUCUGCAGUAUGAACACACCACCAUAGAUGGGUGCAACCCCAGCAGCUCCACGCAACUCCACUCUCAUCCCAGCACCACAUCCCCUAUCCCACAGAGGGAGCAGAAACGAGUGUAACCCUCAUGAUGGCGAACUCCACCCCAUUGCAUAUUGUGCUGAUGCAAAGGAAAAAUGCAUGCUGCUUUUUCCUCCUUCCCCCCAAAAAGCCAAUUCCUCAGCAGCAUCCUCAGAUCCCAUGGGCUGCGGUGGGCGCUCAGCCCUGGGUCACAGCAGGGAGCCCGCCCGCGGCACACCGCGCAACCGCCGGAUUUAUGCCACCUCUCCUAAUGAUCAGCUGUGGACACGGAGGAACUCCCAGCAAUUUCCACCCUCGGUAGACACAGGUUUUCAGCACCGGCUAUUUUUGCUGCCCACAAGUAUUUUCAUUUAGCUGGUUGGAAAUCAGGGCUAUAAACGGAGGAGGUUGGAUGCAGAGCGCAAGCAGCUCCGUCAGAGACCAAAGGAGAUGCUGCCAUUCUCACCCACACGCCGUGAGAUUACUGCCUGGCCUUCUUCCAGAGGGGCUUCCAAGCUGGUUUCUCCUUUCUGCUGAGCAAUCUGGAACCUGACUUUCCUCCGCUGUGUGUUUUCCUCAGUGGUGGAUGGAGGGUUCAGCACAACGUUGUCAGCACUGCUGCUCCAAACGCACUGGAGGGGAGCCCGGUUUUAGGGCGCGUCAGCAGAGAUGAGAAGUGAAGCCCUGGUGGUCACCAGUUCCAUCCUACAGCAAGGCAAAAAAUGAAAUGAAACUUCAUGGAGGUGGCACAAAUAGCAAACAGAGUGGAAAGAACAAAUGCUUAGGAAAAAAAAAAAAAACAACAGCAACAAACCACAAGGGCUGCGAGCAAAGUGGUUAUAGAAAAUGGUUGCAAGCUUAAGUGUGAUUCAGAGAGUCUUGUCUGAGUGUCAGAGGUUCAAUACUAUUGCCUCCAAUUUAAAUCAUUUUUAAAAGAAGUGCAAAAGAAAGGUGAUGAAAGGGCCCUAACGUUGUUCCCUGGUCUGAAAAACACAGCCCACUUGUGCACUGUGGUAAAGUUUUGCAUUUUGGCUAGACAUCGCGUGCAGGGCUGUGCUGAAGCCUUUGCUUAUUUUUAAAAGUUGAAGUCACCGGUGAUCUGUGAAAGGAGAAAAUGCUUUUUCCUUUGAGGAAGAUGCCAUAGGACCAACAUCUCCUGGAGGGGGAGAGUCUGGGGGGGACAUUCCGUGCAUCUGUGCCUCCUGGUCCAACGAAGCACGGGUGAAGACCAGUCCUUGGAGUGAAACCUCCUGUUUUGGGGCUUGGGCUUCCAUAACUGCGCUCCUGUUGCUGUGCAGCAGUGCUUGGGGAUGUUCAGACGCAGACAUUGCAAGCCCGGGCUUUUCCCCAUUGGUGUGUUGUGGAGGGGUGGCAAGGCCGUGGCACCCACACACAAGGACAGGCACACAUCCCCUACGUCUGGGAGCAGUCACCCAACACAAAGUCAUCCCCUUCCCCUUGGAUGUGGGGUGCAGGAUCCAGCCCUGGUUCUCGUCCUGGACAUCCCCAGCCUGGCUGCCAGCCUUGCCUGGGAUUCCUGGUAGGGAGGGCUGAGCCCUGUGCCUCCUCCAAGGUAAAUACACCAGGCUUUGGGCAGUCUACUCCAUGGAGGCUCUUUGCUGCAGCCUGUCUGCUCUGACCAGAUGCUGGAAGUGCUGCGGCUCAAGUAGACAUCAACCUCCUCUUGAAAGCCUGUGGGGCUGCAGUCCUUGCAGAGACCCCAGCAGAGCCAAGGGGACAUCACUGGGAUGUCCCAUGAGGGAUGAUGGGAAGGCAGCACUGGGUGAAUCCAGGAUCCAUUGGCAGGAGCCGAGCACCAAGUGCCCAGCGUUCAUCCCCAUGGUCUUCAGAGCCAGCACGGGGUCAUGGCAAUGCAAAAACCCUUUGCUCACCAAAGGGGAGGUAAACGCCAGGCACUGGCACCAAGAGCCAGGCACAGAGGUCUGAGCAACAGCCACUUCCCUGAUAAAGACUGUCUUGCACAUUUGGAAAAAAAGAUUCCCUGUUUUUCUAUAUUAUUCAGGCACCCAGACAGUUUAGGCACCGAGCUGGGCUUGAUAAUCUGACCUGAGAAGGGAUUGUUUCUGUCCCUGCUCUGAAUCUUAGAUUUUAAACUCAGCGUGAGCCAUUAUUAUCAUCCAUCUCCUUUGUGACACAGGCCAGAGACUUUCACUGCUGUACCAGAGCAAUAACUUCUGGUUAAGCCUGCCAAAAACCUUCUAUGCAGAUAUUCCCUCUGUAUUUUAAAGGAGAGGCAUGCACAAUAAACACCAAUAAACACCUUUUCCUUACAGCAACCUGAUGGAGUUGGGGUGUCUGUGUAUAGGUUUCUACCAAAAGAUGAGUUGAACAAUUGUGUGACUUCUUUUUUUUCCUCUCCUCCUGCUUAUGCGGUGAGUUACUAAUAUCCUGAUUGGAACCAGAUUUGCAUGAAUUAGAAGUCGAAAUUGGAGCAGCAACUGCUGUGCAGAGGAUGUAAAGGGAAUAAAAUGAAUGGGG